ACAAGCUCUCCAGGUAUGCAUUUGCCCAACUUGAUGUAAGGCUAGUGAGUUGUAAUUGAUUGAAUAAGAUAUCUGAGGGCCAUUGUCUGGUGUGAUGGUUUUGUAAAUGUGUUUGCAACCCAAGGGGUUGCAGUCAAAGAGCAGCCACUUGUGCAAGCAUCUGGCAAAGGGUUGAACUAGUACUCCUACAAGGACCUACUUUGGUAGGACCAGGGCAUGGUAAUUUCAUUUUGUUGAAUAAGAUGUAGACCCAAAUUAACUUUUUUGUCCUGAAAUGGUGCAUGAUAUGACUCUAGUUUGUCUGAUAUAUUGAUAAUUAACCUUUAUUGUUUUAUGCAGGAUGCCUUGAAGGCUGGUUUG
Molecule: unclassified non-coding RNA, 360 nt
Filed under: Hevea brasiliensis (rubber tree)
Lineage: Eukaryota; Viridiplantae; Streptophyta; Magnoliopsida; Malpighiales; Euphorbiaceae
Source: RNAcentral